RNAcentral lists this RNase P RNA (413 nucleotides) under Gluconacetobacter sp. RNAcentral's name for it is "RNase P RNA component class A". It matches the Rfam family "Bacterial RNase P class A". Rfam says of the family: Ribonuclease P (RNase P) is a ubiquitous endoribonuclease, found in archaea, bacteria and eukarya as well as chloroplasts and mitochondria. Its best characterised activity is the generation of mature 5'-ends of tRNAs by cleaving the 5'-leader elements of precursor-tRNAs. The record is from RNAcentral. Lineage: Bacteria; Pseudomonadati; Pseudomonadota; Alphaproteobacteria; Acetobacterales; Acetobacteraceae. RNAcentral also lists the same sequence under 1 other name.
CCAGACGGUCGGGCGACCGCUGUUGCAUGGGUUUCCAUGCGAUGGAGGAAAGUCCGGGCUCCACGGAGGAACGGUGCCGGCUAACGGCCGGCGGGGGCGACCCCAGGGAAAGUGCCACAGAAAACAGACCGCCCACACGGCAUUCCGGUUCGCCGGAGAUGGUGCGGGUAAGGGUGAAACGGUGCGGUAAGAGCGCACCGCGCCCGCGGCAACGCGGGCGGCAGGGCAAACCCCACCGGGAGCAAGACCGAAUAGGAACGGCAGACGGGUCGCUCGCGGCACCGUCGGGGGCUCCUCCGCCUCGUCGUUCGGGUUGGUCGCGUGAGGCGUGCCGCGAGGCGCGUCCCAGAGGAAUGGUCGCUCAUCCUUCUUCGGAAGGUGGACAGAACCCGGCUUACAGACCGUCUGGCCUC